This 700-nucleotide ribosomal RNA is filed under the name Achromobacter dolens. Its description in RNAcentral is "bacterial SSU rRNA". It matches the Rfam family "Bacterial small subunit ribosomal RNA", at positions 88 to 784 of the family's 1533-position model. The record is from RNAcentral. Lineage: Bacteria; Pseudomonadati; Pseudomonadota; Betaproteobacteria; Burkholderiales; Alcaligenaceae.
GCGGCGAGUGGCGAACGGGUGAGUAAUGUAUCGGAACGUGCCCAGUAGCGGGGGAUAACUACGCGAAAGCGUAGCUAAUACCGCAUACGCCCUAAGGGGGAAAGCAGGGGAUCGUAAGACCUUGCACUAUUGGAGCGGCCGAUAUCGGAUUAGCUAGUUGGUGGGGUAACGGCUCACCAAGGCGACGAUCCGUAGCUGGUUUGAGAGGACGACCAGCCACACUGGGACUGAGACACGGCCCAGACUCCUACGGGAGGCAGCAGUGGGGAAUUUUGGACAAUGGGGGCAACCCUGAUCCAGCCAUCCCGCGUGUGCGAUGAAGGCCUUCGGGUUGUAAAGCACUUUUGGCAGGAAAGAAACGUCGCGGGCUAAUACCCCGUGGAACUGACGGUACCUGCAGAAUAAGCACCGGCUAACUACGUGCCAGCAGCCGCGGUAAUACGUAGGGUGCAAGCGUUAAUCGGAAUUACUGGGCGUAAAGCGUGCGCAGGCGGUUCGGAAAGAAAGAUGUGAAAUCCCAGAGCUUAACUUUGGAACUGCAUUUUUAACUACCGAGCUAGAGUGUGUCAGAGGGAGGUGGAAUUCCGCGUGUAGCAGUGAAAUGCGUAGAUAUGCGGAGGAACACCGAUGGCGAAGGCAGCCUCCUGGGAUAACACUGACGCUCAUGCACGAAAGCGUGGGGAGCAAACAGGAUUAGAUA